Molecule: ribosomal RNA, 253 nt
Filed under: uncultured bacterium
Lineage: Bacteria
Description: partial 16S ribosomal RNA
Rfam family: Bacterial small subunit ribosomal RNA
Source: RNAcentral
UACGAAGGGGGCUAGCGUUGUUCGGAUUUACUGGGCGUAAAGCGCACGUAGGCGGCUCGUUAAGUCGAGGGUGAAAUCCUGGAGCUCAACUCCAGAACUGCCUUCGAUACUGGCGAUCUAGAGUCCGGAAGAGGUGAGUGGAACUCCUAGUGUAGAGGUGGAAUUCGUAGAUAUUAGGAAGAACACCAGUGGCGAAGGCGACUCACUGGUCCGGUACUGACGCUGAGGUGCGAAAGCGUGGGGAGCAAACAGG